Long non-coding RNA from Eucalyptus grandis, 151 nucleotides. RefSeq lists it as uncharacterized. The transcript is spliced from 2 exons. NCBI's taxonomy places the organism in Eukaryota, Viridiplantae, Streptophyta, Magnoliopsida, Myrtales, Myrtaceae. The record is from RefSeq and is a predicted model, not a curated record.
GUGGUCUGUAUGCUCGUUGUUUUGAGGAGUUCUUCGAUUUAGUGAAUUCAGCUGCAACUGCUACAUCUAGAUAUGACUUUUCUGUCACAGUUUUUGAACUCCACAAUGAACAGGUACGAGAUUUGGUGCAUGAAUCAGGAAGGAAUUCAUC